RNAcentral lists this microRNA precursor (123 nucleotides) under Malus domestica (apple). Its description in RNAcentral is "miR10997 stem-loop (mdm-MIR10997)". The record is from miRBase by way of RNAcentral. Lineage: Eukaryota; Viridiplantae; Streptophyta; Magnoliopsida; Rosales; Rosaceae.
GAUGUACUUAUGGAUGUUGCUUAACCUUAUUUGAUUUCACGACAUUGAACUGCACUUUCRAACASCUGGAAGGAAUACAAUGCCAUGAAAUCAAAUAAGGUUAAGCCACAUUGUUGGCCUGCA